This is a non-coding RNA of Cucurbita pepo subsp. pepo (vegetable marrow), 699 nucleotides long. The record is from RefSeq and is a predicted model, not a curated record. NCBI's taxonomy places the organism in Eukaryota, Viridiplantae, Streptophyta, Magnoliopsida, Cucurbitales, Cucurbitaceae.
UACUAUGUAUUACAUCCUAUUUGUCUAAUCCUGUCGGCUUGGGCUCCAACUUGUGCUUCCACAACGCUGAAUUGACCUUCAGUUCAAUUAUCGUUCUUUACUGUUUUUUUUUUUUUGAUUUUAUUUUUUGAGUUCAAGGAUGGAAAUUUUGAUCUUUUGGUUGCCUUCAUCAGUUAGUUUGACGAUUGGCUGGGAAAGAAUUGCUGUCGCAUGUUUUUCCACUCGUAUGUUGUGGUGGUGGUACAGGUGGUACACGGACGUUCGUGUUAUUCGGUGCCUUUACUGACCACGUUUCAAUUAACAUCGCAUGCAAACUCUUUGCUCUUACGUGUUGGAUUAUAUGUCCAACUUUCUCCUAAUUUUAAAAGCUAACCUACAGGUUUGGUUACGUCAACAAAUGAUUAAUCUUUUCCUGUGUGGCAACCCUUUCUGAGUCAUGCCUGCUAUAAAAAAGAAUUCUGAAUGCAGUCGGAUUGGGAAUGUUUUCCACAAGUUGAUGAGGCAGAUUGGAAAUCCAGUUGACUUUGAACUUCCUGAUUGGUUUAGUAAAUGGAAGCCUUUGCCGUAUACCUUCAUUAGGCGUAGUAUCCUUUGCUAGUUUUGUUCUUUACUAUCCUUUGAACUGUAUACAUUUUUUUCUUUCUUUUUGAAGUUUGUACUUUUCAUUAAUGAAAUUUGCAUACCGUGGACAUUUUCUUU